ACUUCUUAACACUCAAAUUCAACAAAACUACCCAUACGCGUAAUUGGAUUGGGCACGAUCGUAUUCUCUAACCCCAAAUCAGUACGUUCUCAACUUGAUACCACUUUCUUCGGUCCAGAUAUCAAGACCGGGUGCACACGAUGUCGUGUCAAGAACUUUGCAAACUGUUAUCACGACGAACGGGGACGGCGAAAUUUUAGAUUCAAUAGAAAUAUGGGGAGGUCUGAGUAAUUUACUAAUUUCAUACCUCCAUUUUAAAUCAGAGAAGAUUUCUAAUCCUCUGCACGAAGUACUCCUGUACUUUGCGUGGAAGCUCACAGAUCGGAUGGCUACCAGAACCGGAGGGAGGAAGGGAAGGGGAAGAGGUUGUUUCACUCGCUAUAAUGCCUCCUGGUUGUAGCGUUUUUCUAGUUUUACUACUUAAAGUGAACGCCGAGCUCGUUCGAGUCGAUUCGGAGACUCAGCGGGGAUGGCUCGGCCAUGUACGAUGGGUCCGGUGAUGGUGAGAGCCAUGAGGCCGUGCGGAGGAAGAUCCCGCCGGAUUCAUCGAUGCCUUGGUCCGAAACCUCCGCCGGUUCAUCGGUUCCGGCGCCGGACUUAGAUCCUAAGCCUUGAUGGGUAUGCGAACUUUAUGCAGAAACAUCUUUUUGUGUGAAUGUGCGUGUAUGGUGCUGAAGUGCUUUUGGAGCAGGUGACUGCUAUGUACUGUAUUUUAUCAGAAUUCUUUGUUUGCUAUAUUUUUUUUAAUGGGGAUUUAUAGUAUUUUCUUUCGGGACCUAAAUGGUGUGGGACAUGAAUAAUUUUAAGGUAAUAAGAUGUGUUUAAUUGGUAUUUGAAUGCAGCUCUGUUAGACUGUUUGGUUCUGAAGAAGCUGGGGAAAGAUCUUGAUUAUAUGGUUAUUUGUCAUUUGGGAUUUGAGGAGAUGGACACCUGUGUUCAACUGAGGCUAAUGCAACCUUUUGGCUUAGGUAACUUGAGUUUUUCAACUUGAAAAAAAAAAGCUCUAUGAGAAGAAAAGAAAAAUGGGUGCACUAUUCUUUUUAUGGAGUGUUUGGAUUGAGAAAGACGGGAAAGUUAAGAAAUUAAGAAUUUUCAAGUGUAGAUGAACAUGUAUUCUGUCUUGGUGAAGUCUCUCUUAGAAUUCUGCUAGAAUAGCCCACCAUAAUAUGUGAUUAUCGGAUUCUAAAUUCCUUCCUUGAUAUAUAGAGGUCUUACCUUGUAAGUUUUUCGCUUUUAACAUAAAGGCCUUAUAGUUCCCUUAUUAAUGUAUGCACGGCAGGUUAUUGUUAUCUAUAGAAUACCCCUAAUAUGCUGAUUCAUCAGUUUCUGGCAUAUGCAUUCGUGCAUAGUAUGAAAAUGCAGACUCCAUAUUCAUUUCUUGAUGUCAAAAUAUGCAUUUCCUUUUGUAUCCGAUUAUUUAACUUGGUAUUUAUUUUGUAAAGCUUGGCACAAAGAGAAACUUGCUUGAUAUGUUUAAAGAGAAGCAACAAAAAGUGAUGAAGCUAAUACUAUCGAGUUUCUACAAGAAGGCAUGUGUUGUACUUGUAGCUCGGACUUGAUUAUAAAAUACUACAUAUAAAGAUAGGACAGGGACAAUAUACUGGAGUUACUUUCUUGUCUUAUUUCUUGGUGCAUAUGUUCAUGGAAAAUGCUUAGUUCACUGACAAAAGUGUACCGAUGAAGUACACUGAUUAGUGUUUUUUUUUUCUCAAAAGCAUUUGUGUGUGUUUAUUUUUUAGUAUUUAAAAAAAACAAACAACACUGAUCGGUACCCCUUUCGGUAGCAAUCCUUGAUGCAUGUAGCACUGUCCUAUGUUCAUUGACAGAGACAAAUGUCUUUAGUAAUAAUAACAGUAGCAAAAGUUUUGCUUCUAAAAAAAAAAAAACCAGAAACAGCUGUGAAAAAGUUUGUGUUUUUUGCAGUUACAAAUAUGCAACUUUAUUUGGUACGUACUGGCUGUUGCAUAUUUUACAUACACAAAAGCCACUGAGAACUUAGGCUUGGAACUUUUUAUGAUCUGUUUUUUGAUUUUUUUUUUUUUUUAUAGGUGGCAAAAUAUACUUUUUAAAGGUAUCAUCCUCAUCUUGCUGCCUGGUCUUCUGAUUGUUGUUAGGUUUUACUGCCUAAGUAUUGGUAAUUUGUUUUCUGGUGAGAAUAUCGCCUCUAAUUAUUUCAGAAGCAAUCAGAUCUGUUGCUCAAUGCUCACAAUCCAGAUACAAAUUUAUACCAGAAAAGUCUGUUGAAAAGUUCUCAUCCUAAACCCAAUACGGUGCACCAAAACAAAGCCAAAGAUGGGGUUACUGGAUUUUUUAUGCUAUGCCCCUGAAGAAAGCCACUUUGUACUAAAAAAACAUGCAUCAUCUGUUUAUUUUGCCAAAAGCUGAACACACUUGUAUGAUUAAAAUAAAAUCUGAAUGAACAACGAAAAUGAAGUCAUCCAGUUUUUCUUUGUUUUCCAAACAAGUUUAUUGUAGUGUGUUUGGCCUGUUUAGGCUUAUAAUUAUUGGAUUUUUUACUCGCACGAAUAAAAAUAAUAAUUAAGUAUUCUAUUAAUUCAGUCUUAUGGAUGGAUUCACAACUUUUGAUGAUGUGAAAUUUAAAAUUGAAAUUUGUCAUCUUUUUUUCUCCACUUCACCUUUUCUAUGCAGUGUUGAUGAUUUACACAUUUUUUUUUGCAUUUGAUUUUGGAUCCACUUAUUCAUUCCUUACAACUGAUAUGCUUUGGAUGGUAUUUGAUGAACAUGUUCUCCGUGGGAAAAGUAGUGGAGGAAAUGCUAGGGAGAUGGAUUUUGAAAGCUUCAGAAGGGUUAACUUAUUUGUUUCGGUGUCUUGAUCAUCUUGGAAGGGGUUACCUUAACGCAGCUGACUCGCACUCACUUUUGUUGUUGAUUAUAAUCUGGCUCCCUAAUUUGUCUCGGGUGCUUUUCUUGGUGGUUGUGAUCAACUCGUGUGUGUAAUGUAUAUUUGUGUCCAUCUUUUUCCUCAAUCUUCUUUGCAACCAAGCAAAGCCAAAUAUGGAAGAAAAGAAGGGAAACAUCCAAAAGCUGAGAUGUUUUCUGAUACAACCUUCCUACAGUAAACCUCUGUAGUUUCCUGCUUGUAGUACUAGAGCAAGUUCUGCAAGUCUCAAAUUACCAGAGACACGAAUCCAGGAACCAUUUAAAAUUCUGGUUUAGCUAUUAAAAUCCUUUUUUAAUAAUUAGUAUCCUUGGCUGGUGA
Carya illinoinensis is the source of this 3220-nucleotide RNA transcript. RefSeq lists it as uncharacterized. NCBI's taxonomy places the organism in Eukaryota, Viridiplantae, Streptophyta, Magnoliopsida, Fagales, Juglandaceae. The transcript has 2 exons. The record is from RefSeq and is a predicted model, not a curated record.